Molecule: small nuclear RNA, 106 nt
Organism: Psammomys obesus (fat sand rat)
Lineage: Eukaryota; Metazoa; Chordata; Mammalia; Rodentia; Muridae
Source: RefSeq, a predicted model, not a curated record
GGGCUCGCUUUGGCAGCACAUUUACUAAAAUUGGGACAAUAAGAGAAGAUUAGCAUGGCCCCUGCGCAACGGUGACAUGCAAAUUCAUGGAGCGUUCCAUAUUUUU